AUCCAGCUGACAAGUCUCAAAUAGGGCGAAACACGGGUAUUGGAU
This is a non-coding RNA of Schistosoma curassoni, 45 nucleotides long. The record is from Rfam. Lineage: Eukaryota; Metazoa; Platyhelminthes; Trematoda; Strigeidida; Schistosomatidae.